Molecule: non-coding RNA, 221 nt
Filed under: Brevibacillus choshinensis
Lineage: Bacteria; Bacillati; Bacillota; Bacilli; Caryophanales; Paenibacillaceae
Description: T-box sequence
Rfam family: T-box leader
About the family: Uncharged tRNA acts as the effector for transcription antitermination of genes in the T-box leader family. T-boxes are found upstream of many aminoacyl-tRNA synthetase genes and some amino acid biosynthetic genes usually in Gram-positive bacteria.
Source: RNAcentral
GAGAAUGCGCUGAUGAGAACAAGUACUUCGCAAGAGCCUGGCCUAGAGAGUCGGUGGUGGGUGCAAACCGAUCCGGCGUGCGAAGGAAUCCAUCUCGGAGUGGCAAAGGAUAAACUUUGUCCGGCACCGUCCCGUUAUGACGGAAGAGUGGACAGAUGCGAGUAGUACGGUGCAUUUGUCAACGAGGGUGGCAACGCGGGUAUACAACACUCGUCCCUUAC